This 1091-nucleotide ribosomal RNA is filed under the name Escherichia coli. Its description in RNAcentral is "partial 23S ribosomal RNA". It matches the Rfam family "Bacterial large subunit ribosomal RNA", at positions 1 to 1123 of the family's 2925-position model. The record is from RNAcentral. Lineage: Bacteria; Pseudomonadati; Pseudomonadota; Gammaproteobacteria; Enterobacterales; Enterobacteriaceae.
GGGUUGUGAGGUUAAGCGACUAAGCGUACACGGUGGAUGCCCUGGCAGUCAGAGGCGAUGAAGGACGUGCUAAUCUGCGAUAAGCGUCGGUAAGGUGAUAUGAACCGUUAUAACCGGCGAUUUCCGAAUGGGGAAACCCAGUGUGUUUCGACACACUAUCAUUAACUGAAUCCAUAGGUUAAUGAGGCGAACCGGGGGAACUGAAACAUCUAAGUACCCCGAGGAAAAGAAAUCAACCGAGAUUCCCCCAGUAGCGGCGAGCGAACGGGGAGCAGCCCAGAGCCUGAAUCAGUGUGUGUGUUAGUGGAAGCGUCUGGAAAGGCGCGCGAUACAGGGUGACAGCCCCGUACACAAAAAUGCACAUACUGUGAGCUCGAUGAGUAGGGCGGGACACGUGGUAUCCUGUCUGAAUAUGGGGGGACCAUCCUCCAAGGCUAAAUACUCCUGACUGACCGAUAGUGAACCAGUACCGUGAGGGAAAGGCGAAAAGAACCCCGGCGAGGGGAGUGAAAAAGAACCUGAAACCGUGUACGUACAAGCAGUGGGAGCACGCUUAGGCGUGUGACUGCGUACCUUUUGUAUAAUGGGUCAGCGACUUAUAUUCUGUAGCAAGGUUAACCGAAUAGGGGAGCCGAAGGGAAACCGAGUCUUAACUGGGCGUUAAGUUGCAGGGUAUAGACCCGAAACCCGGUGAUCUAGCCAUGGGCAGGUUGAAGGUUGGGUAACACUAACUGGAGGACCGAACCGACUAAUGUUGAAAAAUUAGCGGAUGACUUGUGGCUGGGGGUGAAAGGCCAAUCAAACCGGGAGAUAGCUGGUUCUCCCCGAAAGCUAUUUAGGUAGCGCCUCGUGAAUUCAUCUCCGGGGGUAGAGCACUGUUUCGGCAAGGGGGUCAUCCCGACUUACCAACCCGAUGCAAACUGCGAAUACCGGAGAAUGUUAUCACGGGAGACACACGGCGGGUGCUAACGUCCGUCGUGAAGAGGGAAACAACCCAGACCGCCAGCUAAGGUCCCAAAGUCAUGGUUAAGUGGGAAACGAUGUGGGAAGGCCCAGACAGCCAGGAUGUUGGCUUAGAAGCAGCCAUCAUU